AUCCUUCAGUUCAUCAGCAUGAUGACUGGGUGUUCAUGCCGUAUGCAUGAGAUGUGUCUCCCUCAAUCCUCAUUACGCCGUGGGCCCAUUACCUGUCUGAUG
Molecule: small nucleolar RNA, 102 nt
Organism: Cavia porcellus (domestic guinea pig)
Lineage: Eukaryota; Metazoa; Chordata; Mammalia; Rodentia; Caviidae
Rfam family: Small nucleolar RNA U13
Source: Rfam